AUGCAGGUACAGUUACAAUAUAACUAAAGUGUUUUAUUGUCGUUCCCCUGCUUAAAGCAUUUGAUACAUUACUAUCUCUGUCUAAUUCAUUCCAUAAUAAGACAGAGACGCUUGGUCUCAAACAU
Sciurus vulgaris (Eurasian red squirrel) is the source of this 125-nucleotide small nucleolar RNA. Its record names the gene SNORA63. It matches the Rfam family "Small nucleolar RNA SNORA63". From Rfam's summary of the family: E3 belongs to the H/ACA class of snoRNAs and is involved in the processing of eukaryotic pre-rRNA and has regions of complementarity to 18S rRNA. NCBI's taxonomy places the organism in Eukaryota, Metazoa, Chordata, Mammalia, Rodentia, Sciuridae. The record is from Ensembl.